This 85-nucleotide non-coding RNA is filed under the name unclassified sequences. RNAcentral's name for it is "c-di-GMP-II sequence". It matches the Rfam family "Cyclic di-GMP-II riboswitch aptamer". The record is from RNAcentral.
UGAAAUAUUGGAGGCGAUGAAGGUGAGACUGUAUUUGGACGCUUGGUCUUACCGGGAGCCAGUAGCGUAACCUGCCAGUUAGUAA